AUUGAACGCUGGCGGCAGGCCUAACACAUGCAAGUCGAACGAGUGGCGGACGGGUGAGUAAUGUCUGGGAAACUGCCUGAUGGAGGGGGAUACCUUCUGGCAACGGUAGCUAAUACCGCAUACCAUCGGAUGUGCCCAGAUGGGCUUAGCUAGUAGGUGGGGUAAAGGCUCACCUGGGCGACGAUCCCUAGCUGGUCUGAGAGGAUGACGAGCCACACUGGAACGGAGACACGGUCCAGAGGCCUACGGGGGGCAGCAGUGGGGAAUAUUGCACAAUGGGCGCAAGCCUGAUGCAGCCAUGCCGGUUGGAUGAAGAAGGCCUUCGGUUUUUAAGGUACUUUCAGCGGGGAGGCGUUACCCGCAGAGGAAGCACCGGCUAACUCCGUGCCAGCAGCCGCGGUAAUUC
This 406-nucleotide ribosomal RNA is filed under the name uncultured bacterium. RNAcentral's name for it is "partial 16S ribosomal RNA". It matches the Rfam family "Bacterial small subunit ribosomal RNA", at positions 30 to 526 of the family's 1533-position model. The record is from RNAcentral.